Molecule: long non-coding RNA, 2234 nt
Filed under: Mus musculus (house mouse)
Lineage: Eukaryota; Metazoa; Chordata; Mammalia; Rodentia; Muridae
Description: long non-coding RNA chrX:76140279-76142513
Source: RNAcentral
UUGAAGAGAGCCAACCUCCUCCUCAAGGCUCCACCUCUCAGUGCCACUACAUUAAGGAUUAGAUUACAACAUGACACUGUGGAAAGAGGACAUUGAUGCUGAAGCUACAGCAGCUGCAUCCAACAUUUGUCUCUAAUAUUAAUCAAGUCGCAUUGUCUAGGUCAAUUCCAUUACCAUAUACUUUCAUGUGUGUGUGUGCGCACACAUGUAUUUUAAUUUUUAAAUCUAUUUUAUGUAUACAAGUCUUUCACCUACCUUCAUGUCUGGUCUGGGCACCAUGUAUAUGCCUAGUGCCUUUGGAGGCCAGAUGAAGGUGUCAGAUUCUCUCGAACUGGAGUUGCUGACGUUUGUUAGCCUGUAUGUUGAUGCUCUGAAUUAAAAGAAGGUCCUCUGGAAGAACAGCCAAUAUUCCUAAACACUGUGCCAUCUGCCCAACAUUCUCUAAAGAAUUGGUCAAAGGAUUUUUUUUUUAUAAAGGUUGCGACUCAAAUCAAGUCUAGAGUUUUAUCCAAAUAUUUGGCUUUCAGUCUCUGAAUGUCUAGGUAAUUUCUGCCUCUUGGAACCAAAAAUGUCUGCCUUUGUCAUUUCCCAAGGGUUCUGUCUUAGUGUCUUUUUUUUUCUCCCCCAGUUUGAGUUUCUAACCAGAGAACUCAUUUUAAUAGCUUGAGCUUACAGAGCAGACAUAACAAUUGAAAUGACCCAACUUUCACAUAGGCAUUCCACCCAAGGCAAGGAGAUGCUGUAUAAGACUUCUGAAAGAGGAGGGAGAGAGAACAGACAAAAGAAGCUAUAGGCAGCAGUUGAGCCUGACCACCCUUGGGAAAGUAAGCCAGUGGUAAAGUGAAGGCAGCAGCUUCUUCAGGCUUUACAGUUGGUUGAAAGUCUCUUUCCAUGCAGCCAGUCUAACAUUCAUCUCCUUAGAGGCCUUGUGUUUGAUGAUUCAGCUGCUUCCCGGCUGCCAGCAGAGGUUUGGCCAACUGUUUGAAAAACACUGUCUGCCCUAGACACUUUUUUUUUAAUCUCUGCCUGUUGUUGGGGGACCUCUUCUGAAAGGGAAUACCUUGGGGAAAUCAGAUUCAAACUCCAAGGAGUUGAUUAUUUCCGACUCUUCUGCUUCCCCUUCAAAGGUGAUUAAAGCAAAAUAGGGAUUGUUGGCGGCAAGUGCCUUUCUAGUGUUGGUAAAAGCAGAUAGUGUGUUAUCAGGAAAUGAUCUCUCAGUAGAUUGCUUUCAGAUCAAAUGAGAAAUGUGAUGUGUUAGCAGACUCCUUGGACAUGAAGGGUGCAGCUGAGGCCUGCCAUUGCUGAACUCCCCGUAGAUCAACUUGUUCAAAGAUGCAGGUUAAAGCAUAAUGGAGAUAAGCGUUUGGGGAAGCAAUUGUGCAAGAGCCUCAGCUGCAAGCUGGACUCUUGAACUUCACCACUGGUUUCUGAAAAGUCUCCGGGAGCUUUGGCCCAAUGUUUUAAGAAAGAGAUCUGACCCAGAAUGUGGGCUUCCUUGUCUAGCAAUGAACCUAGGACCUUCAUUGUAGUGAGGCAGUUAAGAGGGAUGUUCUUUGGAGUCAGGUGGUCUGAGGUUGUAGUUCAGCACAUCACCACUUAGUUCUGUAAAAUUUGGUGGCUCAGUGUCUCUUCUGUGCCCCACUUGUACUACAUUAUCUAUGGGAUUGUGAAACUGAGAGGAUGAAUGAGUUGAUAGAGAAGAGUGUUUCCGAUGGUAUCUAAGAUAUGUCUGUGAGAGGGAGAAUGAUAGUGUAGAUAGAUGGAUAGACAGGUAGAUCGAUAUAUAGACAGACAGACUGACUGACUGAGAAAGAAACAGAGACAGACUCAGAGACAGAUGCACAAAGACAGAGAGGCAGAUAAAGAUAAUCAUAAACACACAUAAAAGAGGUUGACUUAUUUUCCUAACUUUUCUGUCUCUCACAAAGGCAGAGAACAGGAAAAGAUUCCAUGUGUAUUAAGGAGUCUCUAGUUGCAGGUGGACAAGGAGUCGGCAAAUGAAAGACAAAAUCAACACGAGGGGUUGUGUAGAAUCUGAAUGUAUUGUCACAAAGUGAACUCUAGUCUUAUAUAAUACAGAAAACAAAAAGGUAGGAUGUCACAGCAGGCAAAGUACAGGAAAAUACAACAAAACAGGAGAAGGAAUUGAACAAGGCCAUCCAGGAUCUAAAAAUGUAAACAGAAACAAUAAAGAAAACACAAAGGGAGGCAACCCUGGAGAUAGAAAACCUAGG